AAGCGGAGGAAAAGAAACUAACUAGGAUUCCCUUAGUAACGGCGAGUGAACCGGGAAAAGCUCAAAUUUGUAAUCUGGCUGUCUUCGAUAGUCCGAGUUGUAAUCUAUAGACGUGUUUUCCGUGCUGGACCGUAUCUAAGUCCCUUGGAACAGGGUAUCAAAGAGGGUGACAAUCCCGUGCUUGAUACGACCACCAGUGCUCUGUGAUACACGCUCUACGAGUCGAGUUGUUUGGGAAUGCAGCUCAAAAUGGGUGGUAAAUUCCAUCUAAAGCUAAAUAUUGGCGAGAGACCGAUAGCGAACAAGUACCGUGAGGGAAAGAUGAAAAGCACUUUGGAAAGAGAGUUAAACAGUACGUGAAAUUGUUGAAAGGGAAACGAUUGAAAUCAGUCGUGUUCUUUGGAUUCAGCUAGUUCUUCUAGUCUACUUCCAUUGAACGGGUCAACAUCAGUUUUGUCCGGUGGAUAAAGAUAGUAGGAAUGUAGCUCCCCCGGGAGUGUUAUAGACUAUUAUUGCAUACACUGGGUGAGACUGAGGACUGCAGCUCGCCUUUUGGCCGGUCUUCGGACACGUUCGAGCUUAGGAUGUUGACAUAAUGGCUUUAAACGACCCGUCUUG
Molecule: ribosomal RNA, 618 nt
Filed under: Cutaneotrichosporon dermatis
Lineage: Eukaryota; Fungi; Basidiomycota; Tremellomycetes; Trichosporonales; Trichosporonaceae
Description: eukaryotic LSU rRNA
Rfam family: Eukaryotic large subunit ribosomal RNA
Source: RNAcentral